UACAGAGGGUGCAAGCGUUGCUCGGAAUCACUGGGCGUAAAGGGUGCGUAGGCGGGUCUUUAAGUCAGGGGUGAAAUCCUGGAGCUCAACUCCAGAACUGCCUUUGAUACUGAGGAUCUUGAGUUCGGGAGAGGUGAGUGGAACUGCGAGUGUAGAGGUGAAAAUUCGUAGAUAUUCGGCGGAACACCAGUGGCGAAGGCGACUCACUGGACCGGUAUUGACGCUGAGGUGCGAAAGCGAUGGGGAGCAAACUAGG
Molecule: ribosomal RNA, 256 nt
Filed under: uncultured bacterium
Lineage: Bacteria
Description: partial 16S ribosomal RNA
Rfam family: Bacterial small subunit ribosomal RNA
Source: RNAcentral